CCUUCCGACAGCAACUGCAGAGGACAUAGAGGGUUGGAGAAAUCAACAAAUGUCAGGGCUACGUGCAGGAGAAGUCGACAUCUAUCUGGUCUUUGGAAGACUGAAGUCAAAAACAGACACACCUCAAGAUGAGACAUUAGUUGGUUCUGUCCCUGUGUGCCUCACCAGUCCAGCACAGCUCCCAGCAGAUCCUCAAAAAAGUUAUACAGCUGCACCAUUGAGAGCAUCUUGACUGGCUGCAUCACCGCUUGGUACGGAAACUGCAAGGCACCCGAACGAACACAAGACGCAAUAGAGGGUGGCGAGUACAGCCCAGUACACCACUGGGGCCGAGCUCCCUGCCAUCCAGGACCUCUAUACCCAGCGGUGACAGAGGAAGGCCCCCAAAACAUUGUCAAAGACUGCAGCCACCCAAGCACGGCAAGCAGUACCAGUGUACCAAGUCGGGAACCAAGAGGACCAUGAACAGCUUCUACCCCCAAGCAAUAAGACUGCUAAACCAGGCUGCUAAACCAGGCUGCUAAAUAGAUACCCGGACUACCUGCAUUUACUUAACUCUCUUGCACCGACUCACACUGGUCUCUACUCACACGCAUACUGACGCCACACUCACCGUAUACGCUUCUGCUACAGCUCAGUCUAUUAUCUAUCCUGUUGCCUACUCAUUUUACCCCUACCUAUAUGUACAUAGCUACCUCAAUAACCUCGUAACCUUGAACAUCAACUUGGUGCUGGUACUCCCUGUAUAUAGCCAUGUUAUCUUUACUAGUUGUUAUUCGUUAUUCACUGUCUAUUUAUUUCUUGCGUCACUAUUUUUAUUUUCUUUAACUCUGCAUUGUUGGAAAAGGACCUGUUAGUAAGCAUUUCACUUGUUAGUCUAAAAAUGUGACAUAACAUUUGACUUUCAUUUGACUACAAACAAAAUGCGUUGAGACUGUAAACAAGACAUUCAGACAGCUUCAUAAAUAUAGGCAGCUGUUGUUUACAUUGUCAACUGCACUGCUGCAUCUCCAGUUCUACAACUUUAGCGCAACAACCCACUUCGGAGGUAGUUUGUGAAAAGUCUAGACUUGGUAGAUGUGGAAAUAAGAUUAAGCUUACUUUUAAAAAAUCUUAGAAUAGGAACACUCUAAAUAGAAUGUUAUGUUGAAAACAUAGUUCAGUAGAGAAGUUGACACCUAUUCAUUUACCAUUCAAACGUUUGGACACCUACUCAUUCCAGUUUUUUAUUUAUUUUUUUAAUUAACGAUUUUCUACAUUGUAGAAUAAUAGUGAAGACAUAAAAACUAUGAAAUAACAUAUGGAAUCAUGUAGUAACCAAAAAAGUGUUAAAAAAUAAAAAUAUUUGAUAUUUUUCAAAGUAUUCACCCUUUGGCUUGACAUUUUUGCACACUUGGCAUUUUGUCAACCAGCUUCAUGAGGUAGUCACUCGGAAUGCAUUUCAAUUAACAGGUGUGCAUUGUUAAUUUGUGGAAUUUCUUUCCUUCUUAAUGCAUUUGAGCCAAUCAGUUGUGUUGUGACAAGGUAUGGGUGGUAUACAGAAGAUAGCCCUACUUGGUAAAAGAUCAAGUCCAUAUUAUGGAAAGAACAGCUCAAAUAACCAAAGAGAAAAGACAGUACAUUAUUACUUUAAGACAUGAAGGUCAGUCAAUCUGGAACACUUCAAGGACUUUCAAAUGCAGUCGCAAAAACCAUCAAGCGCUAUGAUGAAACUGGCUCUCAUGAGGACCACCACAGGAAAGGAAGACCCAGAGUUACCUCUGCUGAGGAGGAUAAGUUCAUUAGAGUUAACUGCACCUCCAAUUGUAGCCAAAAUAACUGCUUCACAGUUGUUUUAUUUUAUUUAAAAUCUUUACUUGACUAGGCAAGUCAGUUAAGAACAAAUUCUUACUUACAAUGACUGCAUGAAUCAGGCCUUCGUGGUUGAAUUGCUGCAAAGAAACCACUACUAAAGGACACCAAUAAGAAGAGACUUUCUUAGGCCAAGUAACAUGAACAAUGGACAUUAGACCGGUGGAAAUAUGUCCUUUGCUCUGAUGAGUCCAAAUUUUAGAUUUUUGGUUCCAGAUGCCUUGUCUUUGUGAGAUGCAGAGUAGGUGAUGAUCUCCGCAUGUGUGGUUCCCACCAUGAAGCAUGGAAGUGUGAUGUGCUUUGCUGGAGACACUGUUGGUGAUUUUAUUUAGAAUUCAAGGCACACUUAACCAGCAUUGCCACACCAUCCCAUCUGGUUUGCACUUACUGGGACUAU
This is a long non-coding RNA of Oncorhynchus mykiss (rainbow trout), 2248 nucleotides long. RefSeq lists it as uncharacterized. Lineage: Eukaryota; Metazoa; Chordata; Actinopteri; Salmoniformes; Salmonidae. The record is from RefSeq and is a predicted model, not a curated record.